GAAAGAGGAAGGAGCACAAAGGAAGGGGGUCAAAGCCUGACGACUGCAAACUUUGUCAUCCUUAAUGUAUCGUCACCACGACUCAGCGUACCGCCCUCAAGCAGCAGGAAUCAUAUGCUGGAAGGUAUAGAAAUGCAGAAAUUUCCUUCUGAUCCAGACCUGUUCCUCACCUGAGUAAUACACCUUUGCAUCAAAAUCUGGGAUAUUGUCAUCUGGUCUCCAUACUUUCUAAAUAAUUUAAUUACCAUGGGUACGUUAAUCCUGCUGUUCGGGUCCUUAUGGUCCUAAUUGUGCCUAAUUCUUCACAUUCUACAAGCCAUUGGUAAUGGUUCUGGUGAGAUGUUGAUUUGUGGUCACCAGUAGUAAAGACAACACUGGUAUUAUCUUUACCGUUUUUGUUGUUUGUUUUUUAUUUUUGUUGCUGUUUUUUUUUUUUGUUUUUUUUUUUUUUUUGUUUUUGCGCAGAUCCGCACUUUCCCGCCAUGUUGAAAUAUUCGUUGAUCGCUUUGCUGCUGUGCUCACUGGCACUAGUCAGCAUCAGCGCACAACAGAUAGAACCUUUGCAGGAGGUUAUCGAGAAAACCCUAGACGGCAAACGAUCUUUGCCAAUGGACUUGGAGCCUAGAGAGCGUCGCGGGGUGGACUGGUUGACAAGGGAAGUCUAUCCAGCUCCGAUUAAUGCCGACGUCGAGUCUAGACAGCGUCGCCAGAUAUACAUUCUACCAACGGAAGGCGAUCUACCUCUGAUUUAUCAGGAUUAGGUCGAGAAGAGCUAGAGCCUUCCUUGACAAUUGUCUCCACAGGAAAGAUGAGAGACAGUCAACUAAGUGGAACUUCCGAAACCAGAAAACAACUCGUCUUUGCUUAUAGGUCGAAGUCUCUGAUCUUGUGGACUGUCUCUUGAGCCAAUGACAAAAAAGGUUUUGCACCAUAUGUUACUGAAGUAAAACAUUGAAGAAAUUA
Long non-coding RNA from Pomacea canaliculata, 963 nucleotides. RefSeq lists it as uncharacterized. The transcript is spliced from 5 exons. NCBI's taxonomy places the organism in Eukaryota, Metazoa, Mollusca, Gastropoda, Architaenioglossa, Ampullariidae. The record is from RefSeq and is a predicted model, not a curated record.